AGUAACACGUGGAUAACCUACCUAUAAGACUGGGAUAACUUCGGGAAACCGGAGCUAAUACCGGAUAAUAUAUUGAACCGCAUGGUUCAAUAGUGAAAGACGGUUUUGCUGUCACUUAUAGAUGGAUCCGCGCUGCAUUAGCUAGUUGGUAAGGUAACGGCUUACCAAGGCAACGAUGCGUAGCCGACCUGAGAGGGUGAUCGGCCACACUGAACUGAGACACGGUCCAGACUCCUACGGGAGGCAGCAGCA
Molecule: ribosomal RNA, 252 nt
Filed under: uncultured Staphylococcus sp.
Lineage: Bacteria; Bacillati; Bacillota; Bacilli; Caryophanales; Staphylococcaceae
Description: partial 16S ribosomal RNA
Rfam family: Bacterial small subunit ribosomal RNA
Source: RNAcentral